AGGAUAAACGCUGGCGGCGUGCCUAACGCAUGCAAGUCGAACGAGGCCUUCGGGUCUAGUGGCGGACGGGUGAGUAACACGUAGGAACCUGCCCGGAAGUGGGGGACAACUCCGCGAAAGCGGGGCUAAUACCGCAUACGGUCUACGGACCAAAGCCUUCGGGCGCUUUCGGAGGGGCCUGCGGCGGAUUAGCUAGUUGGUGGGGUAACGGCCUACCAAGGCGACGAUCCGUAGCUGGUCUGAGAGGAUGAUCAGCCACACUGGGACUGAGACACGGCCCAGACUCCUACGGGAGGCAGCAGCGAGGAAUUUUCCGCAAUGGGCGAAAGCCUGACGGAGCAACGCCGCGUGGGGGAAGAAGGCCUUCGGGUUGUAAACCCCUGUUGCGAGGGAAGAAGAUCUGACGGUACCUGCGAGGAAGCCACGGCUAACACGUGCCAGCAGCCGC
RNAcentral lists this ribosomal RNA (448 nucleotides) under uncultured soil bacterium. RNAcentral describes it as "bacterial SSU rRNA". It matches the Rfam family "Bacterial small subunit ribosomal RNA", at positions 26 to 518 of the family's 1533-position model. The record is from RNAcentral.